GCCAAGCAAACCACCUCUUCAGUGUCUGCAGUCCCUGAAAGAGCCCUUGGGGAGAUACGGAGACAUUGACCUCAAUAGACGAACGCAGCCUUGAAUCUCGGGAAGGGGAUUUGAGACUAGAAGGCAAACUCUUUGAACUGCUAAUUGCUCUCUGCAGUUAAAUACCUCUGCAGCUAAAUACCUCUACAGCUAAAUACCUCUGCAGCUGCAUGGAAGCACAGAAGGUCAGCAAGGAUUUGGCUCAUAAGCAGGAAAGUGGAAUGAGACGUCUGGGUUGUGACUCACUCGACACGAUGUUUCUCCAUCAAGAACAUCAGUUCCUGAAGCAUUUGUGCACAAGACAUCCCUCUCGUAUGCACAGCUCGGAACAGAGAAAAAGCGAAGAAGCACAGUCUGGGCAGAUAGGCCUCUCCGAACUUGUUGUAUGUAAAUUAUGGUAGAGGAACAGGCCCGGAGGCCACUGGUAUGAAUAGAGUCCACUCAAAAGAAUGGAAUCUAUUCCUUGAUUGCAGACCACAGACUCAGGUGCCUGAUCUGAGACUGUUUGUACCUUAGUCUAAUGUGUAUGUGAGGGCAUCUGUAGCUCUCCUUAGUGCUUUGAAAAAUCUCUUUAAAUUCUGCCAGUCAACACA
Alligator mississippiensis (American alligator) is the source of this 632-nucleotide long non-coding RNA. RefSeq lists it as uncharacterized. NCBI's taxonomy places the organism in Eukaryota, Metazoa, Chordata, Crocodylia, Alligatoridae. The record is from RefSeq and is a predicted model, not a curated record. The transcript has 2 exons.